UACGUAGGGGGCAAGCGUUGUCCGGAAUCAUUGGGCGUAAAGCGCGCGUAGGCGGCCCUGUAAGUCCGUUGUGAAAGUCAAAGGCUCAACCUUUGAAAGCCGAUGGAUACUGCAGGGCUAGAGUCCGGAAGAGGCGAGUGGAAUUCCCGGUGUAGCGGUGAAAUGCGCAGAUAUCGGGAGGAACAUCAGUGGCGAAGGCGGCCAUCUGGGACAACACUGACGCUGAGGCACGAAAGCGUGGGGAGCAAACAGG
RNAcentral lists this ribosomal RNA (253 nucleotides) under uncultured bacterium. Its description in RNAcentral is "partial 16S ribosomal RNA". It matches the Rfam family "Bacterial small subunit ribosomal RNA", at positions 524 to 776 of the family's 1533-position model. The record is from RNAcentral.